This is a long non-coding RNA of Gigantopelta aegis, 314 nucleotides long. RefSeq lists it as uncharacterized. The transcript has 3 exons. The record is from RefSeq and is a predicted model, not a curated record. Lineage: Eukaryota; Metazoa; Mollusca; Gastropoda; Neomphalida; Peltospiridae.
AAAUAUCACAAGAUAUGACGCACCAGACACUCCAGCGGUUUGAGGCGGUUAAAAUCGGUUUUAAAACGAUUCAGAAGUCGAAUCAGCUAACAGACUCAAGAUGAACGCUCUGUAUUUCUUUGUGGUGCUCGCAGGAUUGGUCCAGACUAUUCGAAGUGAAACCUGCGACGCAUGCGCAGACACCUACACCACCGAGAAAGGCGCAGCUACUGAUGAUCCCGCAAAGUGCGCGGCGAUCAAGAAGUUUGUCGCUUGUCUGGUGGCCGCCAGUGGUGCAGGUUGUGCAACUGGCGUCAACGCCCCCGCAACCCAAU